Molecule: long non-coding RNA, 2037 nt
Organism: Hippocampus comes (tiger tail seahorse)
Lineage: Eukaryota; Metazoa; Chordata; Actinopteri; Syngnathiformes; Syngnathidae
Exons: 4
Source: RefSeq, a predicted model, not a curated record
GAUUGUCCAUUCAGUCUUACGGUACUUUGACUGGUGGAAUACAACGCUUCAGAUAGAUAAAGCCACUGAAGCUUUGAGCGUCCCAUGAAGGAUCUCAAGAACAGAUGUGUGCAAAUUUGGAGGUGUACUGAUAACCACCAAGCGUCAAAACACAAUGAGAAAUUGAGUUGCAAGCCGAACAACUGUCAGUCCUGACUCCAUUCUCCUUACAUUGAUCCCUCGCUCUACAUGUUUGCGUGGUACAGUCUCGGGUGGCGUGAACAAUAAUAACCUUUGCAAUUCAACAAGAGACAAAACGCUGUCCCACAGCAGAUGGAAAACCAAUCGGGCACUGCGCGACACCAAAUGAUAACAUAGAGGCAGGCAACGUCCAGUCCAUCCAUCCAGUUUGUUCCAUGAAUUUGGAUGCAUACUCAGUUUCUUGGCCUCCACACAUCCAUGACCCGAAUGAGGAUAACCGGUCCAGAAAAUAGACGGUAGGUAAGGUAUUUCCAUAUUUGAAGUGUGAUUCAGUGUAUUAUUCAACUGGAUUUGACUGACAUUUCACCAGUCCGAGGAAAACUCCAUGCGGCAUCAUUGAAAGCCAGUCUCAGACUUCAGUGAGUCAUGCUUCUGCGGUGGUUGCACACAAAUUGUCAGAUCGCACAUGGCGGCCCAGUCAGAAGCCAGGUGCGUUUAAAGAAAAAAAAACAAAAGGAAAACUCUCACGCUAACGGGAGUAUGUGGCCCAUAACAUACAAUGAACAGAAGGUAAAAUCCUUGCAACAACCGUCUCCUUUUGCAAGCUCUGUGACAUCGGUCAAGUCCAAAAGACACAGAAAGACGUGGAGCAAAUCUUAUCUGGUGCAAUUGUUGCUCUGAUUACAACCAUUUAGCCUUUUCAGUCAAUCCACAAAGCAGAUCAACGCCAUUAGCUUUCCGACCAACAAAAUCUCCCAGUGAGACAGCUUGGUAUAAAGAAUGCGUAGAAUGCCGCCACUUCUAACUCAUGUCAGCAGACAGUCUUUCACGCCUUCCUCGGUGAGCGUCUUUAGUCUCGAGCACGGCACUUAGUCAAGUUACGUAAUAGACGACGAACCCAAAGGGCGCCGAUUAACCUUUCUUAGGCUCUUCCAUUCUCGGCAGAGGGUUUGGCCAAAAUCCUUCCUACAGUACAUUUACAUUCUUCUGUACGGUUUCCCCAUUAAGAUGAAGUUGAGGACAAAUCCGAUAAAAGAUGCUUUCAAUGUUAAAUGGGGACUCUGGAGCUCCUUGUUGCAGCUUGAAUGGGGAACAUAAAACACUCUGUCAGGGAUUCAGAUUGAGCAGGAUCGAGACCUGCCCUCCAUCCCGACGUCUAACCACGACCGGGUGGUCCUCGUCUAAAGCCCGAGACCUGAAACUACGCAUUGUGAUGUUAAGAACUCUACGCCAUCUGUUCAUCAUCAUCAGUCCUGAUGAUACAGUGAAAAUUAGACAGACUUCAUCGCUUCUUCAUUCAUGUCCGAGCCUGUUUUAGCAGACAAGAGCCCCUUUCUUUGGAUGGUCGCUCUGCUCAGUGAGCGUCUUUCUCACAGGAAACGAGAGCGUCGGCGGUCAACAGCUGUUUGACUAUUAGGUCUCGUGAGCGUCGCGGCGGCGAAGCUCGGGCAUGCCAAGAAUGUGGCGCCCAUAUGAUGGAUCUCAAGGAAUACUCCCCGCUGACACAGGAAGGGCAAUGCUGGAUGGAAUCCGCUGCCACUUUCCUGCUAAACUUGAGGCGAGAGUGAGAGAAGGCGAUGGUCUCCGUCUGGGAAGAUGUGCAUUAUACGGACAAAAGUAUUUGGAAAACUCCCCCCACCCCCAUCCUGAAUUAGAAAUCCACAUACGUUACACUUUUUUCAGCCAGCCCAACGAGCACUUGCAUUGACACUUGAAGAGUGUUUCUCCAGACGGCAUGUUUCAGCUCAUGUUCAGUAGGAUUGAAAUCAGGGCCCAUAGACGCCACUUCUGAGUAGUUCAAUGUUUUAGUCGAGUGUCUUUCCACACCACAUCACCAAACACCACAGCGACUACUUG